RNAcentral lists this ribosomal RNA (497 nucleotides) under uncultured bacterium. RNAcentral describes it as "partial 16S ribosomal RNA". It matches the Rfam family "Bacterial small subunit ribosomal RNA", at positions 28 to 507 of the family's 1533-position model. The record is from RNAcentral.
GAUGAACGCUGGCGGCGUGCCUAAUACAUGCAAGUAGAACGCUGAAGGAAGGAGCUUGCUCUUUCCGGAUGAGUUGCGAACGGGUGAGUAACGCGUAGGUAACCUGCCUGGUAGCGGGGGAUAACUAUUGGAAACGAUAGCUAAUACCGCAUAACAGUAGAUGUUGCAUGAUAUCUACUUAAAAGGUGCAAUUGCACCACUACCAGAUGGACCUGCGUUGUAUUAGCUAGUUGGUGAGGUAACGGCUCACCAAGGCGACGAUACAUAGCCGACCUGAGAGGGUGCUCGGCCACACUGGGACUGAGACACGGCCCAGACUCCUACGGGAGGCAGCAGUAGGGAAUCUUCGGCAAUGGACGGAAGUCUGACCGAGCAACGCCGCGUGAGUGAAGAAGGUUUUCGGAUCGUAAAGCUCUGUUGUAAGAGAAGAACGAGUGUGAGAGUGGAAAGUUCACACUGUGACGGUAUCUGACCAGAAAGGGACGGCUAACUACGUG